AAAGAGGAAAAAAAAAAAAGGAAAAAAAGAGAGAGAGAUAUAGAGAGCAAAUGAAAAUGAAAAAAAUAAUAAAUAAACGAGUAAAGAUUUUUUCAUCUUAAUUGCACGUUUAUCCAAGUUCUUCCUCUCGUGAUAUAGCGUUUACACUUUUAACGAUUUAUCUAAAAAGUUUCUAAAAAUAAGAGGAGAGAUUAUUAUAUAAUGGUAAAUUGAGAAAAAUAGAAAAAAAAAAAAAAAAAAUGAAAAAGAGAAGAAAAAAAAGAGCAGAAUAACAAAAAAAAAAAAAAAUUAAGAAAUCCUCUAGCUGAAAAAAAAACGAAAAGUAUCGCGUCAAGUAUCGUGCGCCUGUUUAAGGGUUAAAGAUUACCCACAGAUUGAACGAGAACAGAAAUGCAUAUACAAAUAAAUGAAAUGACAACAAGAGUUGUACCGGGAGCGUGCACACGCUGUUUGUUCUCUGCAUCGUUCGCACUCGCAUAUACAUACACACGCGCGCACAUACACAUACACAAUCGUAUAAUACACACACAGAGACACACGUACACACAGAGAAAUAACAGAAAGAGAAGGGAGAAUAGAUCGCACAGCGUGUGGGAGUGCUGCACAUGUGAACGAUACAUACGCACAGCGAGAUCCCCCCCCGCCCCCCCCCUCCCUCUAGAUAAUACAUACCGCAUAAUUUGUUAUCACUUAUUAGCGUUACGACCAAAAUAUCCGUGUACAGUAGAUCGAUACUUAGAUGGACGCGCGCGCGUAUGUAUGUGUGUGUGUGUGUGUGCGCGCGCGCGCGCGCGCGUAUGCCGGGACACGCGCGCGUGUCACGCGGUAAUUUCGAAGCAGCUAGGUAGGUCGUAGCGAGCGUGCUAAACGAGGGGCAACCUCGAGAUAUCUUUAUAUAUGUACGCGAUAUAUCCAUGUUCGUUAUAUCGGACGAGGAUCGAGGGAGUUUGCCUUAAAAGCUGGCAAAGAUAAUAGAUAGAGAUAUAUAUAUAUAGAUUCCUUCGAGAUGCGAUGAGAUGAUCGAGUUGUAUGAUCCGCUUAUUAUUCUUUUUUCUCUCGACACCGUAUAACACGCUCCACGUCGAACAUGGUGCGAUCAACGAAAUAACAAUCUCGCUCCCCAACGAGAACUCGAGGAACCGGAACGAAUCGCAGCGCGGAGGAGGACGUUUAGCGCGACAGCAAGUCGAAUUCUGCGAAGAGGGAAAAGGAGCGGAGAGAGAGAGAGAGCGAAGAUUUGAAUUAAUCUAAACAACGAAGAAGACGCGUCGUUUCGAAGGGAAAAGAGAGGGGGAGAGGGUGCGAGAGAACUGGGAAGGAAGGAAGGUGUUUAAUGUGUAGAUAGAAUUUUGUUCGUCGUUUUAUCUGUCGACUCACCGUAGAUCGAUUCCGUUUCUUGCAGCCCCGCGCACGCUUAACGCGCCGGGGUUGUCACUGUAAGGUUAAACUCCAAAUGAAAGAAAUCACGAACGCGGUAGGGAGAGCAAGAAGAAUACAAAGAAAUAAUCGAAGAUUGUACAUUAUUGUAUUUACACGAAGCGAAGUACCUCUACUUUGUAUUGUACGAGCGAAAGAACGAACGAACGAAUAAUCCGUUGUGCCACCACGGGAUUCCCCCGUUGUUGCAUUCCGUUUUUUGUAUCGUGAUCUGCGUGUAUCCACGUUAUUUUUAAUUAUUAUUCGUUUUAGAUUUCGAUUUUUCCCUUGUUUUUUUUUAAAUUGGUAUAAACCAUACAGAAAAAUUAAGAAUAAAAUUUAUAAUCGAAUUGAAAAUAAAUGAAAAAAACGUGACGUGGUUACCGCAGAUUGGAUCCAACACUGCAGAUGAGCGAUGUUUUAAGCUGUCAGCCAGCCUUAACAGUAUUCGCAUCUUUACACUUACCUCUUUAGCUUUAAGAGAAUGCAUAGAGACAGAGAGCCAGAGAUGCUGUCAGCGCUGACGUUGAUCCCCCAUCCCCCCUCUUUGUAGUAUCAAAAUUAGUUCGUAGUAAAGAGAAAACGUAUGGAACGAGAGAGCGAACGAGCGAGCGAGCGAGAGAGAGAGAGAGAUAGAGAGAGAGAGAGAGAGAAUGAGCAUAUAUACGGAGUACGAAAAGAAGAUUUCGUCGUGCAGAUUUUUUUAUGUAGAUUCAGUGAAGCAAGAAUGUACCGUGUGUACCGUAUUUAGUACAUUGUCGAUAAGCAUGAUGAUUUCGAUACACAUAACUACGUAUUAUAUAUAUAUAUGUAAACUUUUUUCUGAAUUUAACAAAUUAAUCAUAUAUAUAUAUAUAUAUCGAUAUUGUAUAAAUAUUGUAAAAGAUAUCGCCCUCGAGUCGCGCGCGCUGCGUUAAGAAUCGAGCACAAAGAAGAAAGGAAAUAUAUUACGCGUAGCUCCUUUCGAUUUCGCUUGUUCGUUUGCUUUUAUUAUUGAAAUAGCGAUGCAGGAAGCGUGAAAGAGAUGGCUUGCAAAAUUCUUGGACGCUUCGCCGGACGAACGUACUAAGAGAAAUUAAAAGAGAGAAUGAGAAUGGAAAUUGAUGAACGGGAGAAUAGAGCGAAUGAAUGAAUGAGAGGGAGAGAGAGAGAGAGAGAGAGAGAGAGAACUAGAGAGACAAAUGCAUGUUGGUAAUAAUUAUGAUUGUUACUCGAGAUCGUUAGGCCUAUCGUAAUUAUUUACUUUAACAGAGAAGAGGUAUACAAACAAUUAUAAAUAGGUAUAAUAUAUAUAUAUAUAUAUAUAUAAGAUUAUAUAUAUAUAUAUGUAUAUGAUACAAACAUAUACAUGCAUACAUGUAUGGAACGAGCGCGGUGAGCCCCCUUCUUAUGUAGAUCUUUAAAAAGGAAAAAAAAAGAAAAGAAGAAAAAAUAAUUAAAAGAAAAAAAAAAAAAAAGGGAAGAUGAGAGGGAUUUAGAGUCGGAUGGGAAAGGGAGACUACCUUUAUUCGCGAGCGAACAACGUUGUUAUAUUAUCAUAAAUAUUAUAUAUUAUAUAUUAUACAAUACGAAAUCGAGCAAUAUUGUAUUGUUACUUCGUCGUUAAUAUUUAUCACCGCCUAUUCGAAGAAUUAUAUUAUAUACCUAUUUUACAAAAUAAUCCCUCGUAUCUGAACGAGUAACUCAUAUCGAACCUGGCUACAGGUCUAUGUGGUACGCGUACUUUUAAAUACCUAUUCACAGGAUUGUAUAGAAUACGCAGAUUUAAGUAGAUAGACGCGUAGAUAGGUCAAAAUAGACGAAGUAGUCGCGGAGAAGGGAAAUGGUUCACGGUGUGAAUGGGAGAUUGAGUGAGAACGACGAGAAGAAAUUAUAAGCCGAAUAAUUUGAUGAACAGCGGUUUUUACGUAAGUGGAAAACUGCGAGAACAGCGACCAUUGAAAAAUGAAAAAAAUAAAAAAAGUAAAAAAAAAAAAAAAACAAUGAAAGGGGAGAGGCGAAAACUCGCGAUAGAUCGCUCGCGACCGAUUUUACCGUUGAAACGUUGUUUCUUUUGUUCGAUUAGUGUAUUCCAAAGUCUAUGUAAGUAAGGUUGCGUGCAAUUUCUCUCGAGUUACCUUUAAUUAAAAAAAAAAAAAAAAAAAAAAAAAAAAAGGAAAGAUUUCGUUCGAGACGACUCAAAACUUCGUUCGAAGUUUAUGUCAUUCGACUGUCCCCUGACAAUGUUAUGUUUUGCGGUAUAGCGCGUGUUGUAAAUCGAGACGAUGAGAAACUGCGUGUACCGAUGUCUAACGUUUGCAAUAACAGAGUACGAAAUCGCGAUGAUUUAACACAAAUUGGGACCACCGUGCAAAAGUGCAAGGUGCCGAGACGAGAACGACUACGGCGUGACGAGUUCUAUCGUAUCGUCGAUCUUUUUUUUUUUUCUUCUUUUCUUUCUUUUCUCUCUCUCUUCAUUGACUUCAACGACGAACGUCCAAUAUCUCGCACGCCGGCCGUUUUCCGAUUCUUCGAAGCGAAAAAAAAACAGUGAGAGACGAGCAAUCGCGAAAUAUUCAAUAGAGUAAAACACGAAGCCUGAUUAAGAAGUAGAACAAGUGAAAAAAAAAAAAAAAAAAAGAAGAAAAGAAA
This 4047-nucleotide long non-coding RNA is filed under the name Apis florea (little honeybee). RNAcentral describes it as "uncharacterized LOC105736287, transcript variant X1". Lineage: Eukaryota; Metazoa; Arthropoda; Insecta; Hymenoptera; Apidae. The record is from RNAcentral.